RNAcentral lists this ribosomal RNA (467 nucleotides) under uncultured bacterium. Its description in RNAcentral is "partial 16S ribosomal RNA". It matches the Rfam family "Bacterial small subunit ribosomal RNA", at positions 28 to 507 of the family's 1533-position model. The record is from RNAcentral.
GACGAACGCUGGCGGCGUGCUUAACACAUGCAAGUCGAACGGAAAGGCCCUGCUUUUGUGGGGUGCUCGAGUGGCGAACGGGUGAGUAACACGUAGUAACCUGCCCUUGACUUUGGGAUAACUUCAGGAAACUGGGGCUAAUACCGGAUAGGAGCUCCUGCUGCAUGGUGGGGGUUGAAAAGUUUCGGCGGUUGGGGAUGGACUCGCGGCUUAUCAGCUUGUUGGUGGGGUAGUGGCUUACCAAGGCUUUGACGGGUAGCCGGCCUGAGAGGGUGACCGGCCACAUUGGGACUGAGAUACGGCCCAGACUCCUACGGGAGGCAGCAGUGGGGAAUAUUGCACAAUGGGCGGAAGCCUGAUGCAGCAACGCCGCGUGCGGGAUGACGGCCUUCGGGUUGUAAACCGCUUUCGCCUGUGACGAAGCGUGAGUGACGGUAAUGGGUAAAGAAGCACCGGCUAACUACGUG